RNAcentral lists this ribosomal RNA (255 nucleotides) under uncultured bacterium. Its description in RNAcentral is "partial 16S ribosomal RNA". It matches the Rfam family "Bacterial small subunit ribosomal RNA", at positions 74 to 334 of the family's 1533-position model. The record is from RNAcentral.
CAAACCAAAGCUGGCGACCGGCGCACGGGUGAGUAACACGUAUCCAACCUGCCUCAUACUCGGGGAUAGCCUUUCGAAAGAAAGAUUAAUAUCCGAUAGCAUAUAUUUCCCGCAUGGGUUUUAUAUUAAAGAAAUUCGGUAUGAGAUGGGGAUGCGUUCCAUUAGUUUGUUGGGGGGGUAACGGCCCACCAAGACUACGGUGGAUAGGGGUUCUGAGAGGAAGGUCCCCCACAUUGGAACUGAGACACGGUCCAA